Ribosomal RNA from Larimichthys crocea (large yellow croaker), 120 nucleotides. Lineage: Eukaryota; Metazoa; Chordata; Actinopteri; Sciaenidae. The record is from Ensembl.
GCUUACGGCCAUUCAACCCUGAAUGUGCAGGAUCUCAUCUGAUCUCGUAAGUUAAGCAGGGUUAGGCCUGGUUAGUACUUGGAUCGGUGACCACCUGGGAAUACCAGGUGCUUGUAAGCU